GAUGAACGCUGGCGGCGUGCUUAACACAUGCAAGUCGAACGGAAAGGCCGAACCUUGCUUCUGUACUCGAGUGGCGAACGGGUGAGUAACACGUGGGUGAUCUGCCCUGUACUUAGGGAUAAGCUUGGGAAACUGGGUCUAAUACCGGAUAUGACGAUCCCUUGGAUGGGGUCGUGGAAAGCUUUUGCGGUAUGGGAUGAGCUCGCGGCCGACCAGCUUGUAGGUGGGGGAGUGGCCUACCAAGGCGUCGACGGGUAGCCGGCCUCAGAGGAGGUCCGGCACCCUUGGACCUGAGAUGCAGCCCAGAGUCCGGCACGGGGCAGCAGUGUGGAAUAUUGUACAAUAGGCGCGGGACUGAUGCAGCGGCGCCGCGUGGGGGAUGACGGCCUUCGGGUUGUAAACUCCUGUCGCAAUCGGCAAAGCCUUUUGGUGACGGUAGGUUGAGAAGAAGCACCGGCUAACUACGUG
Molecule: ribosomal RNA, 468 nt
Filed under: uncultured bacterium
Lineage: Bacteria
Description: partial 16S ribosomal RNA
Rfam family: Bacterial small subunit ribosomal RNA
Source: RNAcentral